CCUACGGGUGGCUGCAGUGGGGAAUAUUGGACAAUGGGCGAAAGCCUGAUCCAGCCAUGCCGCGUGUGUGAAGAAGGCCUUCGGGUUGUAAAGCACUUUCAGUGGGGAAGAAAGCCUUGGGGCUAAUACCCUCGAGGAAGGACAUCACCCACAGAAGAAGCACCGGCUAACUCCGUGCCAGCAGCCGCGGUAAUACGGAGGGUGCGAGCGUUAAUCGGAAUUACGGGGCGUAAAGCGCGCGUAGGCGGUCUGAUAAGCCGGUUGUGAAAGCCCCGGGCUCAACCUGGGAACGGCAUCCGGAACUGUCAGGCUAGAGUGCAGGAGAGGAAGGUAGAAUUCCCGGUGUAGCGGUGAAAUGCGUAGAGAUCGGGAGGAAUACCAGUGGCGAAGGCGGCCUUCUGGACUGACACUGACGCUGAGGUGCGAAAGCGUGGGUAGCAAACAGGAUUAGAUACCCCGGUAGUC
Molecule: ribosomal RNA, 465 nt
Filed under: Vreelandella stevensii
Lineage: Bacteria; Pseudomonadati; Pseudomonadota; Gammaproteobacteria; Oceanospirillales; Halomonadaceae
Description: partial 16S ribosomal RNA
Rfam family: Bacterial small subunit ribosomal RNA
Source: RNAcentral